UUUUUAUUAUUUGGGCUGUUAUUUUGAUAGUGACGACGUUUGCUUAAUUAAUUAACCUUAGUUAAAAUUAUGACAAUGACGUUUAUGUAUGUAAUUAAUAAUUAAGAUUGCUUAAUCAGGUCUAGCUAAUCUCAAGGUGCCCUUAAUUCUUGAUUAGGCUCGGUUCAUCUACUCUUAGUAAAUUUUGAGUAGUCUAAUAAUUUAACAUAAAUUGAUUUUAAUUAGCCUCAGUAUUCCUAACCAUCCUCUAUUAAUCACCGUUAGACUUAACUUAAAUUAUCGUAACUAAUUUCAUGUCUUUAUUAACCUUACUUACACUUAUACCUCUCAGUAUUCAUUAUAUACAGUCAAAAUCAUAAAUCUCAUUAGUCAUGCAUAGUUAUAAGGCAUUCUCAUAUGCACCUCCGUAGGAACUCACACCUAUGUGUGCAGUGGAUCGUGUCACGCGGUACAGACAGAAAAACUGGACGGACGGACGGAGAAAGUUCCGAGGGAAGAAGCCCUAAAAUGCUUACGCAUUAAUAUAGGUACGCCAGGAGUACCUAAUAACUACCGGGCGUGUACUGACCCUUCCACGUUUCCAGUGCACUUGCAUAUCCAACGCAGUUUGGUAGCAGCAGGCGUUGCGCUGCAGGCCCCGCUCCUUGUGCAACAGUCAUACGAGGACGGGGAUUCAAGCUAAUUUUAGCAGGCACUUGCCUAUCGGCCAUGCCUGGUUAUUCUGGCCGCCAACAGAUGACGCCACAAGCAGAUGUGCUUCUCCUUGCUGCCACAUGCUAGCGCUCUAAGCAGCCUCCGCUGAGCGCAGGCCACGCGCUCGCGUGUUCCCUUUCAUAAAGGACCACCCUGUACGUACUAUACAAUACACAAAAUGAGACCGCAUUUUUGAAAACGCACAUUUAUAGUACUUUGUGUCGAGAAUCAUUUGGCUAAGUGGCCCUUCAAACUUGCCUUGAACAUUACAGAUAAAGGCAACAUGACUGUGGCAGGGACAACUAAAGCAGCAAGAUUUGAUUGCCGCCUCCUUUCCGAACAAUGCAGCAGCAACGCAUCGCAGUGUUCACUUGCUUCAAAACGCCUCAACGGACGCUAAAGAGGAAUGUUCAGUUAAAAUAGAUCAACAAAUUAUAUUUCCAGAACACAAGGAAUGUCAUUUCUACCAUCAGCUGAGCCUUGGCAAGGCAGAAAAGAACUGGGGAAAAAAAAGAAGGAGAAAAGGGCUUGAAGUUCCUGUGGUACUUUCUUGUGUCGUCAUGAGAUCUGGACAGCUCCUGCUUGGGACAAGUUAAAUUUAUCAAUAAUGAGGGACUGCAUCGCAUUUUCUAUACGAACAUUUACAACAUAGCAAGUCUUGAGCACGUUUACUGAAACGCUGGCCAGUCAUGUGAAAAUACUUAGCAAUCUGUGAUGUCAUACUAGCAUACAGGCCUUGCUGUUCAAGCAGGAAAUUCAAAUAAGAAAAUUUGGCCAAGCUUCAUCUCCAGUAAUAACGAACCUUGUAAAUUAAAUUUAGUCAAAUUAGGGUUUCUUUUACAUGCCAAGAUUAUGAUUUGAUUAUGAGCCACGCUGUAGCGGAGGACUCUGCACUAAUUUUAACCAUUUGAGGUUUGUCUUGCUUGGAUCAUAGCCGAAGUGUAACUCUGGGAUGCAGAACCCUGUGUAUAUCAUUACUAUUACAACACAAUUGAGUCUAAUGCGAAAGUGCAAAGCCCACAGCUCUCGUCACUGGAGCGUGCUCUGGUCACUUGGCACAAUGCUCACUACAGUGAGGCCUACAGUGCCUGCAGUAAGGCUAAAUUUUAGUUCUGCUGCAGCUGAUGAAGAACAGCAGCUACAGGAGCUGGCAUGCUUCUACAGGAGCUGGCAUGUUGUACCUUCACGCACAGGAUGUGCCAAUGUCAUACUCCUAUUGGUGCACAUGUUCUUGUCAUCGCUUUCUUUCCCUCACUCUCCUUCUCUUUGCUGGCCGAGUACUUUAUAUCACACAUGGCAAACCAGCAAUAAAGAUUCUUUCUUGGUU
Molecule: non-coding RNA, 2020 nt
Organism: Dermacentor andersoni
Lineage: Eukaryota; Metazoa; Arthropoda; Arachnida; Ixodida; Ixodidae
Source: RefSeq, a predicted model, not a curated record